Molecule: long non-coding RNA, 980 nt
Filed under: Mytilus galloprovincialis (Mediterranean mussel)
Lineage: Eukaryota; Metazoa; Mollusca; Bivalvia; Mytilida; Mytilidae
Source: RNAcentral
UGGCGUUUGAUAGGUACAACCUAUUAUUUAAACCUGAACAGUAUUUGAAGUGAAGCUAUUUUAACAUGAAAAUCAAUUUUGGAUUCCAAAAAAAAAAUAAAGUAAGCUUUAACACGGCAACAGUGUACGUGAAUCGUGUUCAUGCAUUGUCAAUCUGGAGAUGAGAUGCUAGGGUAAAACUAUUUGUGAUGCUCACUUUGAUUGUUUAAUAUGAAAAAAAAAAUUAUAUUAUUUUAGUAGUAAUUUGGUGUGCAUCGAAACAGUUAUUAGACGAGACUUGAAACUUGUUCAUUAACUCGCAAAAUUUGCUUGAUCAAACAAAUUAAAAAGAUACAAGUCAUGAAAUCUGGUCUUUAUUAAGGGUUGCAGAAAAUGAAUGAAUAUACAUUUUUGUUUUAAACUGCUGCCUGUUUCAGAUUCAUUAACCAUGGUAUGAUUUAUCUAAAGAAUAAUCUUUACAGAUUAAAUAAUCGUGUUGUCCAUGUAAAUGAAGGUUUUACGUCAUUUGUUAUUUUAGGUUGACAGUACAACUAAUUAUUUUAAACAUUGCCACAGUUUUUACAAAUGAUAACAGGUUUCAACAUGUUAAAGAGGAUUAAUCUUGACAUUGAAAUCUAAAACAUCAUUUUAGUUCUCUGGUUGUGUUAUUCGUUAAAGUAGCACUAGCUACGAGAUAUCUAUUAAAAAUCAAAAAUAUGGUUUUUUUUGUCAAUCAUUAAUAAAAGUGAAAUAGUGAAAUAAGAAUUCGCUUUUUGCGGCCAAUUGGUUCAAUUUUGUGAAAAUAAGUUAAGAAACAUUGAUGAUAAAUUAUUCACUUGCAAGUGAAUAAUUUGAUCUCAUUGAAUCCGUAUUCAUUUGAACUCCAAUUUAACCCCUUACCAAGAGAUUGAUAGCGCAUGCAUUGUGGGUGUGGAGUUAUUUAAAGGAAAAGAAUGUCAACAUUGAAAGUGAAUCAAAGGUAAUUUAUGUAAUUGACUGAU